Molecule: ribosomal RNA, 512 nt
Filed under: uncultured bacterium
Lineage: Bacteria
Description: partial 16S ribosomal RNA
Rfam family: Bacterial small subunit ribosomal RNA
Source: RNAcentral
GAUGAACGCUGGCGGCAUGCCUAAUACAUGCAAGUCGAACGAGAGGAAGGAAAGCUUGCUUUUCUGAAUCUAGUGGCGAACGGGUGAUUAACACGUAGGUAACCUGCCCAUGUGCCCGGGAUAACUUCUGGAAACGGAUGCUAAAACCGGAUAGGUAGCAGACAAGCAUUUGACUGCUAAUAACGUGGCUACGGGCCUGAACAUGGAUGGAUCUGCGAUGCAUUAGCUAGUUGGUGAGGUAACGGCCCACCAAGGCCACGAUGCAUAGCCGGCCUGAGAGGGCGGACGGCCACAUUGGGACUGAGACACGGCCCAAACUCCUACGGGAGGCAGCAGGAGGGAAUUUUCGUCAAUGGGGGGAACCCUGAACGAGCAAUGCCGCGUGAGUGAGGAAGGUCUUCGGAUCGUAAAGCUCUGUUGUAAGAGAAAAACGACAUUCAUAGGGAAUUAUGAGUGAGUGAUGGUAUCUUACCAGAAAGUCACGGCUAUCUACGUGCCAGCAGCCGCCGUAA